RNAcentral lists this transfer RNA (99 nucleotides) under Kitasatospora phosalacinea. Its description in RNAcentral is "tRNA-Arg". Lineage: Bacteria; Bacillati; Actinomycetota; Actinomycetes; Kitasatosporales; Streptomycetaceae. The record is from RNAcentral.
AGGGCCCUGAGGGCCGUACGGGCCCGCGCGCGGCCGCGGGCCGCCCCGGGGCACUGGGAGACCCGGGGCGGCCCGCGUUCGGCGGUCCUGGGGGCGCUG